Molecule: small nucleolar RNA, 93 nt
Rfam family: Small nucleolar RNA snoR31
Source: Rfam
UGGAUGAGGAUGAAGCUACAAUCUUAUAAUCCAACACUUGAUCUGAGAUAUUCAUUAUCAAAUGAAGCUUUAAGUAUUUGCUUCUGAAUCUGC